UCUGGGACAAGCCCUGGAAACGGGGUCUAAUACCGGAUACCACUCCUGCCUGCAUGGGCGGGGGUUGAAAGCUCCGGCGGUGAAGGAUGAGCCCGCGGCCUAUCAGCUUGUUGGUGGGGUAAUGGCCCACCAAGGCGACGACGGGUAGCCGGCCUGAGAGGGCGACCGGCCACACUGGGACUGAGACACGGCCCAGACUCCUACGGGAGGCAGCAGUGGGGAAUAUUGCACAAUGGGCGAAAGCCUGAUGCAGCGACGCCGCGUGAGGGAUGACGGCCUUCGGGUUGUAAACCUCUUUCAGCAGGGAAGAAGCGAAAGUGACGGUACCUGCAGAAGAAGCGCCGGCUAACUACGUGCCAGCAGCCGCGGUAAUACGUAGGGCGCAAGCGUUGUCCGGAAUUAUUGGGCGUAAAGAGCUCGUAGGCGGCUUGUCACGUCGGAUGUGAAAGCCCGAGGCUUAACCUCGGGUCUGCAUUCGAUACGGGCUAGCUAGAGUGUGGUAGGGGAGAUCGGAAUUCCUGGUGUAGCGGUGAAAUGCGCAGAUAUCAGGAGGAACACCGGUGGCGAAGGCGGAUCUCUGGGCCAUUACUGACGCUGAGGAGCGAAAGCGUGGGGAGCGAACAGGAUUAGAUACCCUGGUAGUCCACGCCGUAAACGUUGGGAACUAGGUGUUGGCGACAUUCCACGUCGUCGGUGCCGCAGCUAACGCAUUAAGUUCCCCGCCUGG
This 727-nucleotide ribosomal RNA is filed under the name Streptomyces sp. RNAcentral describes it as "bacterial SSU rRNA". It matches the Rfam family "Bacterial small subunit ribosomal RNA", at positions 137 to 876 of the family's 1533-position model. The record is from RNAcentral. Lineage: Bacteria; Bacillati; Actinomycetota; Actinomycetes; Kitasatosporales; Streptomycetaceae.